Molecule: ribosomal RNA, 457 nt
Filed under: Enterococcus casseliflavus
Lineage: Bacteria; Bacillati; Bacillota; Bacilli; Lactobacillales; Enterococcaceae
Description: bacterial SSU rRNA
Rfam family: Bacterial small subunit ribosomal RNA
Source: RNAcentral
GACGAACGCUGGCGGCGUGCCUAAUACAUGCAAGUCGAACGCUUUUUCUUUCACCGGAGCUUGCUCCACCGAAAGAAAAAGAGUGGCGAACGGGUGAGUAACACGUGGGUAACCUGCCCAUCAGAAGGGGAUAACACUUGGAAACAGGUGCUAAUACCGUAUAACACUAUUUUCCGCAUGGAAGAAAGUUGAAAGGCGCUUUUGCGUCACUGAUGGAUGGACCCGCGGUGCAUUAGCUAGUUGGUGAGGCAACGGCUCACCAAGGCAACGAUGCAUAGCCGACCUGAGAGGGUGAUCGGCCACACUGGGACUGAGACACGGCCCAGACUCCUACGGGAGGCAGCAGUAGGGAAUCUUCGGCAAUGGACGAAAGUCUGACCGAGCAACGCCGCGUGAGUGAAGAAGGUUUUCGGAUCGUAAAAACUCUGUUGGUAGAGAAGGACAAGGAUGAGAGUAA